Molecule: non-coding RNA, 46 nt
Filed under: Schistosoma haematobium
Lineage: Eukaryota; Metazoa; Platyhelminthes; Trematoda; Strigeidida; Schistosomatidae
Source: RNAcentral
CUGCUGUUGAGGAGUCCCAUACUAAGACGAAACGGCCGUCCAGUAC